UAUAUAUAAUAAUAAUGAGAUGUUUAUUAUAAUGUUAAUGUUAGUACAGCCAACGUACAAAAUCGUCAUCCUUUAUAUCGUCUAUGGACUAGUCAACUUUGUGAUUUCUUUUGAUUUACAACUUCAGUAAAGGUGGUAUAGCCGUGUCGCCGUACUACGACGUCAUAAUCGAGGAAACUUAGGCCGAAAACGGCCAGAAAAUGAUCAAAAACUGUGGGCAAUUUAAACGCUGAAUGUGUCGAUAUCGAAGAAUCGUCGACGUCGGUUUAUGUUUUGGAUUAGCGUGAACUAACUGAUGUAUUCAUGUAUUUGAAAUCAAAGAGAUGUGGAGUGAUUUUGACCGGUUGGAUUGGUGGCCAAAACCACUGCAUACCACGGUACAGGAGCCUGUAGAAAAAACAGUAAUGCUAUAUUAGUGUUUCUUAUGGGUUUGGAUCGGUUUUGAUAUUAUGUGAUUACGAUGCGAAAUAAAUUUUAAAUAUUAUUCCAUACGCAAUACAAACAUACAAUUUUAUUCACGAUGAAAAGUAUCGAGCCGAAAGAUUUCAAAUGUUCUGCCUUUUAAAGUGACAACACGUUUAGAUAAUACAUAACAAAAAAUACUACUGCACUUUUCGACGUUCUUUAAU
Molecule: long non-coding RNA, 629 nt
Organism: Rhopalosiphum maidis (corn leaf aphid)
Lineage: Eukaryota; Metazoa; Arthropoda; Insecta; Hemiptera; Aphididae
Exons: 4
Source: RefSeq, a predicted model, not a curated record